Molecule: ribosomal RNA, 300 nt
Filed under: uncultured Lactobacillus sp.
Lineage: Bacteria; Bacillati; Bacillota; Bacilli; Lactobacillales; Lactobacillaceae
Description: bacterial SSU rRNA
Rfam family: Bacterial small subunit ribosomal RNA
Source: RNAcentral
CGUAGUACCGUGGCAGGGUACGCGGUAAUACGUAUGGGGGACGGGUUGUCCGGAUUUAGUGGGCGUAAAGAGCGUGUAGGCGGCCAGGCAGGUCCGCUGUGAAAACUCGAGGCUCAACCUCGUGAGGUCGGUGGAAACCGUCUGGCUAGAGUCCGGAAGAGGAGAGUGGAAUUCCCGGUGUAGCGGUGAAAUGCGCAGAUAUCGGGAAGAACACCCGUGGCGAAGGCGGCUCUCUGGGACGGUACUGACGCUGAGACGCGAAAGCGUGGGGAGCGAACAGGAUUAGAUACCCCAGUAGUC